RNAcentral lists this transfer RNA (72 nucleotides) under Bos taurus (domestic cattle). It matches the Rfam family "tRNA". Rfam says of the family: Transfer RNA (tRNA) molecules are approximately 80 nucleotides in length. The record is from Rfam by way of RNAcentral. RNAcentral also lists the same sequence under 2 other names. Lineage: Eukaryota; Metazoa; Chordata; Mammalia; Artiodactyla; Bovidae.
UCCCUGGUAGCUAAGUUGGUAAAGAAUCUGCCUGCAGUGCAGAAGACUCGGGUUUGAUCCCUGGGUUGGGAA